This 69-nucleotide transfer RNA is filed under the name Sinocrossocheilus bamaensis. RNAcentral's name for it is "tRNA-Phe". It matches the Rfam family "tRNA". From Rfam's summary of the family: Transfer RNA (tRNA) molecules are approximately 80 nucleotides in length. Lineage: Eukaryota; Metazoa; Chordata; Actinopteri; Cypriniformes; Cyprinidae. The record is from RNAcentral.
GCUAGUGUAGCUUAAUGCAAAGCAUAGCACUGAAGAUGCUAAGAUGAGUCCUGAAAAACUCCACAUGCA